UGGGGAAUAUUGCACAAUGGGCGAAAGCCUGAUGCAGCAACGCCGCGUGAGUGAUGAAGGCCUUCGGGUUGUAAAGCUCUGUCUUCUGGGACGAUAAUGACGGUACCAGAGGAGGAAGCCACGGCUAACUACGUGCCAGCAGCCGCGGUAGUACGUAGGUGGCAAGCGUUGUCCGGAUUUACUGGGCGUAAAGGAUGCGUAGGCGGAUACUUAAGUCAGAUGUGAAAAUCCCGGGCUUAACUUGGGAACUGCAUUUGAAACUGGGUAUCUAGAGUGCGGGAGAGGAAAGUGGAAUUCCUAGUGUAGCGGUGAAAUGCGUAGAGAUUAGGAAGAACACCAGUGGCGAAGGCGACUUUCUGGACCGUAACUGACGCUGAGGCAUGAAAGCGUGGGGAGCAAACA
This 402-nucleotide ribosomal RNA is filed under the name uncultured bacterium. RNAcentral's name for it is "bacterial SSU rRNA". It matches the Rfam family "Bacterial small subunit ribosomal RNA", at positions 355 to 774 of the family's 1533-position model. The record is from RNAcentral.